RNAcentral lists this long non-coding RNA (253 nucleotides) under Phoenix dactylifera (date palm). RNAcentral's name for it is "long non-coding RNA (PDAC_LNC013232)". Lineage: Eukaryota; Viridiplantae; Streptophyta; Magnoliopsida; Arecales; Arecaceae. The record is from RNAcentral.
GCGUCUCGCAGGGUCGGAGUCGACUCCCGACUCUGCGGAGUCGACUCUCUCAGAGACGGCAGAAAGGCCGAUUUCAAAGGAUGCGCGCGAGUCGUCUCCGAAGGACGCGGAGUCGUCCCCACGCAUAAAAGACAAACAUCCCGAGACGUCCCCAGAAAGCGCGGAGUCGACUCUCUCAGGGAUUCCAGAGGACUUGUUUUUCGUUGAUAAAACUACGGAGUCGUCCCCGACGUCGCGGAGUCGUCCCCAUGCA